Molecule: ribosomal RNA, 726 nt
Filed under: uncultured bacterium
Lineage: Bacteria
Description: bacterial SSU rRNA
Rfam family: Bacterial small subunit ribosomal RNA
Source: RNAcentral
AACAGGAUUAGAUACCCUGGUAGUCCACGCCCUAAACGAUGUCAACUAGUUGUUGGGGAUUCAUUUCCUUAGUAACGUAGCUAACGCGUGAAGUUGACCGCCUGGGGAGUACGGUCGCAAGAUUAAAACUCAAAGGAAUUGACGGGGACCCGCACAAGCGGUGGAUGAUGUGGAUUAAUUCGAUGCAACGCGAAAAACCUUACCUACCCUUGACAUGUACGGAAGUCUGCUGAGAGGCGGAUGUGCUCGAAAGAGAACCGUAACACAGGUGCUGCAUGGCUGUCGUCAGCUCGUGUCGUGAGAUGUUGGGUUAAGUCCCGCAACGAGCGCAACCCUUGUCCUUAGUUGCUACGCAAGAGCACUCUAAGGAGACUGCCGGUGACAAACCGGAGGAAGGUGGGGAUGACGUCAAGUCCUCAUGGCCCUUAUGGGUAGGGCUUCACACGUCAUACAAUGGUCGGUACAGAGGGCUGCCAAACCGCGAGGUGGAGCUAACCCCAGAAAACCGAUCGUAGUCCGGAUCGCAGUCUGCAACUCGACUGCGUGAAGCUGGAAUCGCUAGUAAUCGCGGAUCAGCAUGUCGCGGUGAAUACGUUCCCGGGUCUUGUACACACCGCCCGUCACACCAUGGGAGUGGGUUUUGCCAGAAGUAGGUAGCCUAACCGUAAGGAGGGCGCUUACCACGGCAGGAUUCAUGACUGGGGGUGAAGUCGUAACAAGGUAACC